Molecule: ribosomal RNA, 141 nt
Filed under: uncultured eukaryote
Lineage: Eukaryota
Description: partial 18S ribosomal RNA
Rfam family: Eukaryotic small subunit ribosomal RNA
Source: RNAcentral
UGGUGGAGUGAUUUGUCUGGUUAAUUCCGUUAACGAACGAGACCGCUGCCUGCUAAAUAGUCCGGUGAGUGAAUUUCACUGAUUAGGACUUCUUAGAGGGACGUGCAUUCUAUUAGAUGCAGGAGGAUAGCGGCAAUAACA